CAAAUUUCUGCCCUAUCAACUUUCGAUGGUAGAGUAGUGGUCUACCAUGGUUUCAACGGGUAACGGGGAAUUAGGGUUCUAUUCCGGAGAGGGAGCCUGAGAAACGGCUACCACAUCCAAGGAAGGCAGCAGGCGCGCAAAUUACCCAAUCCCGACACGGGGAGGUAGUGACAAUAAAUACUGAUACAGGGCUCUUUUGGGUCUUGUAAUUGGAAUGAGUACAAUUUAAAUCUCUUAACGAGGAACAAUUGGAGGGCAAGUCUGGUGCCAGCAGCCGCGGUAAUUCCAGCUCCAAUAGCGUAUAUUAAAGUUGUUGCAGUUAAAAAGCUCGUAGUUGAAUUUCAGACCUGGCCGGGUGGUCCGCUUAACGGCGUGUACUGUCUGGCUGGGCCUUACCUCUUGGUGAGCCGGCGUAUUCUUUUAUAGUGUGCGUCGGGGAACCAGGACUUUUACCUUGAGAAAAUUAGAGCGUUCAAAGCAGGCCUAUGCCCGAAUACA
This 498-nucleotide ribosomal RNA is filed under the name uncultured fungus. Its description in RNAcentral is "SSU rRNA". It matches the Rfam family "Eukaryotic small subunit ribosomal RNA", at positions 300 to 803 of the family's 1831-position model. Lineage: Eukaryota; Fungi. The record is from RNAcentral.